GAGGAAUAUUGGGCAAUGCCCGCAAGGGUGACCCAGCAACGCCGCGUGGAGGAUGAAUGUCGUAAGAUUGUAAACUCCUGUUAGAGGAGAAGAAUAGUACCGGUUGGACCGGUAUAUGACUGUACCCUCAGAGAAAGCCCCGGCUAACUACGUGCCAGCAGCCGCGGUAAUACGUAGGGGGCAAGCGGUGUCCGGAUUUACUGGGUGUAAAGGGCGCGCAGGCGGGAUAAAAAGUCAGUGGUGAAAUCCUACAGCUUAACUGUAGAACUGCCUUUGAUACUUUUAUUCUUGAGUUCGGGAGAGAGAGACGGAAUUCCAGGUGUAGUGGUGAAAUACGUAGAUAUCUGGAAGAACACCAGUUGCGAAGGCGGUCUCUUGGUCCGACACUGACGCUGAGGCGCGAAAGCGUGGGGAGCAAACA
Molecule: ribosomal RNA, 421 nt
Filed under: uncultured bacterium
Lineage: Bacteria
Description: bacterial SSU rRNA
Rfam family: Bacterial small subunit ribosomal RNA
Source: RNAcentral